CGCGUACCCAUCCCGAACACGACCGUUAAGCCCUCCAGCGCCGAUGGUACUUGGACCGAAGGGUCCUGGGAGAGUAGGACGUUGCCAAGC
Molecule: ribosomal RNA, 90 nt
Filed under: Paenibacillus odorifer
Lineage: Bacteria; Bacillati; Bacillota; Bacilli; Caryophanales; Paenibacillaceae
Source: RNAcentral